This 75-nucleotide transfer RNA is filed under the name Streptomyces noursei. Its description in RNAcentral is "tRNA-Leu". Lineage: Bacteria; Bacillati; Actinomycetota; Actinomycetes; Kitasatosporales; Streptomycetaceae. The record is from RNAcentral.
UGCCCACCCCCGGACUCGAACCGGGAACACCGCGGAUCUAAGCCGCGUGCCUCUUGCCAGUUGGGCUAGACGGGC